AGAGUUUGAUCAUGGCUCAGGACGAACGCUGGCGGCGUGCCUAACACAUGCAAGUCGAACGAGAAUCUUUGAACAGAUCUUUUCGGAGUGACGUUUAAAGAGGAAAGUGGCGGACGGGCGAGUAACGCGUGAGUAACCUGCCCAUAAGAGGGGGAUAAUCCAUGGAAACGUGGACUAAUACCGCAUAUUGUAGUCAAGUCGCAUGACUAGAUUAUGAAAGAUUUAUCGCUUAUGGAUGGACUCGCGUCAGAUUAGAUAGUUGGUGAGGUGACGGCUCACCAAGUCAACGAUCUGUAGCCGAACUGAGAGGUUGAUCGGCCGCAUUGGGACUGAGACACGGCCCAGACUCCUACGGGAGGCAGCAGUGGGGAAUAUUGCGCAAUGGGGGCAACCCUGACGCAGCAACGCCGCGUGCAGGAAGAAGGUCUUCGGAUUGUAAACUGUUGUCGCAAGGGAAGAAGACAGUGACGGUACCUUGUGAGAAAGUCACGGCUAACUACGUGCCAGCAGCCGCGGUAAUACGUAGGUGACAAGCGUUGUCCGGAUUUACUGGGUGUAAAGGGCGCGUAGGCGGACUGUCAAGUCAGUCGUGAAAUACCGGGGCUUAACCCCGGGGCUGCGAUUGAAACUGACAGCCUUGAGUAUCGGAGAGGAAAGCGGAAUUCCUAGUGUAGCGGUGAAAUGCGUAGAUAUUAGGAGGAACACCGGUGGCGAAGGCGGCUUACUGGGCUUUUACUGACGCUGAGGCUCGAAAGCGUGGGGAGCAAACAGGAUUAGACACCCUGGUAGUCCACGCUGUAAACGAUGAUUACUAGGUGUGGGGGGACUGACCCCUUCCGUGCCGCAGUUAACACAAUAAGUAAUCCACCUGGGGAGUACGGCCGCAAGGUUGAAACUCAAAGGAAUUGACGGGGGCCCGUACAAGCAGUGGAGUAUGUGGUUUAAUUCGAAGCAACGCGGAGAACCUUACCAGGUCUUGACAUCGAGUGCAUAACUAAGAGAUUAGUGAAAUCCCUUCGGGGACACUUAGACAGGUGGUGCAUGGUUGUCGUCAGCUCGUGUCGUGAGAUGUUGGGUUAAGUCCCGCAACGAGCGCAACCCUUACCUUUAGUUGCUACGCAAGAGCACUCUAAAGGGACUGCCGUUGACAAAACGGAGGAAGGUGGGGAUGACGUCAAAUCAUCAUGCCCCUUAUGACCUGGGCUACACACGUACUACAAUGGCAAUCAACAAAGAGAAGCAAGACAGUGAUGUGGAGCAAAUCUCAAAAAAUUGUCCCAGUUCAGAUUGUAGGCUGCAACUCGCCUACAUGAAGUCGGAAUUGCUAGUAAUCGCGGAUCAGAAUGCCGCGGUGAAUACGUUCCCGGGCCUUGUACACACCGCCCGUCACACCAUGGGAGUCGGUAACACCCGAAGUCGGUAGUCUAACAGCAAUGAGGACGCCGCCGAAGGUGGGAUUGAUGACUGGGGUGAAGUCGUAACAAGGUA
This 1488-nucleotide ribosomal RNA is filed under the name metagenome. RNAcentral's name for it is "bacterial SSU rRNA". It matches the Rfam family "Bacterial small subunit ribosomal RNA". The record is from RNAcentral.